This 359-nucleotide long non-coding RNA is filed under the name Rattus norvegicus (Norway rat). RNAcentral describes it as "long non-coding RNA NONRATT027075". Lineage: Eukaryota; Metazoa; Chordata; Mammalia; Rodentia; Muridae. The record is from RNAcentral.
GCGCUCUGUGUUCAGUUGGGCCUUGCCUGAUCCACCAGUCUCAGUUCUGCUACCCCAGCAGGGAUCAACAAGGCACACCCCCUGGUGUACUGUUGGCAUAUUGUCAUUCCAGGGUGAGAUGCCUCUGACCUUCCAGGAUGUGGCUGUGUACUUCUCCAGGGCGGAAGGGCAGCAGCUUAGCCCCCAGGAGCGGGCGCUGUACCGGGAUGUGAUGUUGGAGAACUAUGGGAACGUGGCCUCACUGGGAUUCCCAGGCCCUAAGCCAGAGCUGAUCUCCCAGCUGGAGCAAGAGGAGGAGCUGUGGGUCCUGGAUCUUCUCGGGGCUGAGGAACCAGAAGUCUUGAGAAGCUGCGGGACAG